CGUGAAUCUGAUUAGCCUGCGGCGGCAGCAAAUGAUGGGCCAUUUUUUUCUCCCAGCCACCAGUGCUCCCAGCCUGCUUCCGUGUGCUUUGAGUCUCCACAGACCCCACAGCCAAGUGAAGAAGAUCUUUGCAUGAACACGACCUUUCAGCUGGUGAAUCAGAUGACCAGAAAAAUUCCCCACAUCAGUUUUCUUUAUGGAGUGACCUACACACCAAGAAGAGCCGCUCAGCUCUCAAAACUGCUGUCAUGUAGAUACCUACGUGGAUAAACAAGUAAUGUUUCCACAAAACACUGCAGGUUAGGGCCUCUGCUCAUGGCAGGAUAGAGAAGGCAAAAUAAAGAGGGGGCUUUGGACUGUUGGUUUUGCGUCAUGUAAGCUUUUUUAGUGACCUUUAAUGGGGAGAGAGACUAGAUGCUGAGUUUAAUCACGUAAGACCAGCUCAAGACAAACGGCACAGUUUUGUUUCCUGUCUGGAAAGAAAAAAAAAAUUACUCAUGCACUAGCAGGAACUGAACGCUGAACACUCCUUUGGUGCUAGAUUUAUUGGAGGAUUUGACGACAAGAAUUUGCUUGUAGUUUUCCACCUUCCCUGUGCUAUUUUCUUAGCCAGUCAUUUUGAAUACUCCCCUUCCCCAUCUUUAUCCCCCAACCAUUCCUGUUCUUAAGCCAAAUAAAAAGAAAACAUCACUGAAAUAAAGACCCACGGUUCUGCUUUGACACACCAUGACCACAUUUUUAUACUAUUAUGAGGUAGGGUAUUUUUUUUUUUCUAUUUGUCAGUCUCUGUGGAUAAAAGACUCCAUCUUCCAUAAAGAAUCCCCACCAGAAAUCUUUCUAAGCCCUCAAUCAGAGAGACACUCUGCCAUCGUGCUGAGCAAAAGCUAAUCUAAUUAAGACAGGAUCUGCUAAAUUUAAUAGCCUGCUAUGAAUUUUUACAGACAUCUGGUAGCUGGAAGUUGGAACAGCUCUCACAUAUAAAAUUCACAUUGUCCAGAUAACCAAUAUCGGGGUCAAAUAUUUUCUUUCUUUGGGGAACUUACAUUGUUUUGGUAGGAACGCUAUUUUCAAAUCGUGAUAUCCUACAGGUAAAUGCACUGGAAAGAAGAUUGAGGAUUGAAACUUCAAAUCUCAGCUUUCCAUCUGCACAGUAAAGACAAAGAUGCUUCCAUUGUCCGGUUUUAUGGAGAAAUCUGAAAACGUACACACAGGGCUGGCUUCACGGGUGGCGCCCAGCGUUAGCAAGUCCUUGCCUGGUGCGAGGCGCUGCUCUCCUG
RNAcentral lists this long non-coding RNA (1277 nucleotides) under Homo sapiens (human). Its description in RNAcentral is "HSALNT0337967". The record is from RNAcentral. Lineage: Eukaryota; Metazoa; Chordata; Mammalia; Primates; Hominidae.